UUAAAACAACAAAAGAAAGAAGCCAACAUUAGAUGAGAAAUCAGAACCAUUAUACAGGAGGAGAAAACAGGCUGACGCUGGUUAAGGUUCGCUUCCAGUGACAAACUUCUGCAUAAAAUGAGCUCUUGCUCCUCAAUACACCUAGAAGUUGCACCUUUAAUAACUAUGCUGGCAAUAGGCCAGAAGCAUUACCUAAGACACAAAUACCACCUGCAAUAACCUAAACGUGUCAUCUAACCAUCUAAAACCCCCCAAACCCUGUAAAACUUUCUUUCCCUUAACUGUACAAGCUACCAAUAAGACUAUUAGCUAACAAUAUACCAAACUUAUUUCCUCCUGUAAUCCACUCAAUUAGCACAUAAAUUAUGGAUUACUGGUGGUUAUAAAUGAGAGACAAAGUAAUUUCACAUCAACACACAGCACCGCACUAGAAAUGAUGAAUCAAAAUCAAGUCCAGGCUGCUAAAGUACCAAAACUGAAAGUGCCAUAGGUAUAUGACACCCAAUUCAGCAGUCAAUCAAGUUAAUAAUACAUUGGCAACUACUAAACCUCGUUGAACUUUAACAUUUACAACUGCCAGUACUUCAUAAAAUGCGUUUUAUGAGUAAAUUUAAUAACUCAAGAAUACAAUUGAAAAAAUGAUUUAAAAUUCAGAAAACAGGA
Molecule: unclassified non-coding RNA, 663 nt
Filed under: Hevea brasiliensis (rubber tree)
Lineage: Eukaryota; Viridiplantae; Streptophyta; Magnoliopsida; Malpighiales; Euphorbiaceae
Source: RNAcentral